Gasterosteus aculeatus aculeatus (three-spined stickleback) is the source of this 1077-nucleotide long non-coding RNA. The record is from Ensembl. Lineage: Eukaryota; Metazoa; Chordata; Actinopteri; Perciformes; Gasterosteidae.
CUGAGACGGAAGCAGGGUGGAAACGAUAGGAGUGUGUGUGUGUGUGUGUGUGUGUGUGUGUGCGUGUCCUGACCUUUGCUCCACUGAGGCCGACCUGUUGUGGAAAGAAGGCACCAUGUUUUUCUUCUCCCUGUACAUCAUCGCCCAGCUAAUUGUUGCCGACGAUUUCUUCUCAUCCGACCCGAGUCGCUCCCUGUAUUUCUGGGCCUAACGGACGGGGAAAGGACACCGCGCGGAUGUGCGUUGAACCAUGAGGUCUUCUGCAUUCUAGAAGAAAGUUCCAUUCUCCGUUGAGAGCACGACCACUUUCGGGAGUCAUGAGGGGCCUCCCACAGGAAUCCGUCUUGAUGUAAAGACCGACGAAACGUCCGUCCAGCUCCAGUCCUUCGCUUUCCCACACUUCCAGCCCGGAGCGGCCGCUGGCAAAGCCAACACCUCUACGCGUCCCACCCUUGCUGCCAAAAAGAUGCCAACCUCUGCCGGGUGUGUGGUUGUUUUAGAAAGGGAAGCCCACCCGCUGCCCUCGGGGGGGGCGACACUGUCGUGUCAACACGGUCUCACGGAUCAGUGCCAGCUGAUCCCUGGUGCAGAACAGUGCGGUGAGGUGGUGGCAGCCAACGCUUUCCUCCGCCGACUGCACUGAAGAAACAACACCGGCGGCUGGGCCCACGCCAGCUUCCUGCCACCCGGUCAACCGUCUGGGAACAGCAGCCCCACACAGCUGGGGAGGGACACUCGGUCCUCCCUUUGAGCCCUUCACAGCAAAAAAACAAAAGGUUGCAGCACAAAUCAGCAGCACACGGCGUCCGACAGCCUGGACACGACUUGUGCUCGGUGUCUUCUGUUUCUCUGGGAAGGAGCUUUCUAAAGAGGUGAUGUCGCAGUGAUGUAAGCAGGGUUUACAUUUAAUGUGAGAACACGAAAAUACAUGAAAGUACGUGAAACAGAGCAGUACUCGUGUGAUUGGGGCCCCACAGUCAGUCUGCCCCUGCUGCCCCAGAAGCAUAUCAGCACACGGUUAGUCCCCUUCGACCCCCACGGGUCAGCAGACGGAGGGGGGGGGGGGGGGCCUCAGAC